This 4801-nucleotide long non-coding RNA is filed under the name Sus scrofa (pig). RNAcentral's name for it is "lncRNA (ENSSSCG00015017874.1)". The record is from RNAcentral. Lineage: Eukaryota; Metazoa; Chordata; Mammalia; Artiodactyla; Suidae.
UGGGCAGCUCAGCAGGUGAAAAGUUUUAAGAGUUCUAAGUAAGAUGGUAAUAUUUCCAAAGUGAACAAUCUCUCAGAUUUUUCUAGAAGCUGUUCAAAGAGUGAGUUCCUUUGGAGGACACCGAAGCCAACGAGCAGAAGUGCACCAGGGCAGGUCUCUGGAGAAGAUGGAAGCUCUCAGAUGUCUUCUCUGAGCCGGCUGUCCAGAUGUCCUAUGGCAGCAGUAGCUACAUGAGUCUUGGCAGGUUGCGUCUUUACACCACCACAGCCACUGCAUUCAGUCGGCAGCUGGGUGAUUAAUAAUGAGGCUGGGGCAUUCUGUGUGCUCUGUUCUUUAGGAAGAGGAUACCCUCUCCCCUGUUAACAUGUGACACAAAGGUCAUCACACUGUCCAUCCAUAUGCAUCUACGAUCUUCCAACCUUUUUCCUUCUAGACGCCUGACCAGCUGGCCAAGCCAUUCACUGUUUCCCAUGGUUCUCAUGAUUUUCUGACUCUGGGCCACUUCCCUUUCAUCAUAAAGUGGAUGACCAGGUGCAUUGCCCAUUGGGAGGCUUUUCUCUGACCACAUCCUACCAAGGCCACCUUGCAGGGAGCGUGCAGCAGAGUGGCCAUCCAUUCGCAGUUUGCACCCACCUAACAAGCUCACCCUCUACAAGUAGGUGUGGGCUUUUUCUUCCUCUCAUGGGGUCCCCUAUACAGCCAGGGAUAUGAGCCACCAGGGGGUCAGAACAAGUUACAGUGCAUUGGCAUCUGGACCACUGUUCAUGCCGUCUGCCUGGGCUCAGUAAUGCUGCUAGGGCUCAAUCCUGGACCAACUCUUCAUCUCAUACAGGAUGGUUGCUGGACCAGCCUUUAUGAUUUACCAGGUCUGCCCUGCUUAUGAUGGACAGACCCAGCUGAACGGCUACUGGGUGUAACAGAGCCCAAUAACACACCAGGAGAUGCUUUCCAAAACGCAUGAAAUUCUGUGCUGCUCUUAAACAGCUUGACUCCAGAACGCUGGGGGCCAGCUUUGUGAUUCUCUGGCUGGGGCUUGCCAUGUGUUCCACACAGCUUCUGUUCCCACUGCUGACACCUCCAACACCAGCUGCAGGGACCUUUCCCACUCGGUCGCAUUCAGAGCUGCUCAGUAGCUUUUGGUCCACUUCGUGUUGGAACUAGAGCAGUAUUCCCAGCUGUGGAAUCUGCUGCUUCUACAACCCAAAGAGGCCAAACACACACUGCGAGUCUUUCUUUGUGAAAGAUAGGAAACUCUUGUCUCUCCUUCUUGCCAUCGGUUGUCACAUUGCAGCAUACAUAAGAAUACACUUGAAUGCUUGCCCCAAUGUGAAUUAUCAAGCCCUACCCACAGAGAGUCUGAUUCCAAAUAUAUCUGUGUGAGGAAUCUGCAUUUUGAGAAAGUACCUCCCACCCAUGCUUCUAAAGGUCUUCGAGCAAGCUGUUCACUUUGCCUCUUGGCCUGCCUUUCUUCUUUUCUUCUCCACCUGUGACCCGCCCUUGCCCAUUCUUCAAGACACAGCUCCCAUCAGUAUCACCUCUUUUGUGAAGCUUUUCCUAACUCUCCCCAGGCUGGAAUUAGUCCAUCAGGAUGUCACAGUAAUUUUCAUGCCCCUUUUCAUCUCCAUAGUUAUUUAUGUGAAGUCUCAUCUUCCCACAAGGCUACAAACUUCUGAGAUUUUUUUCAUGUACCUUUUAUCUCCAACAGUCAUCCCAAUGCUAAGUGUGUGGGAGGCACUCACAGUACACUUCUUGGAUGGAUCAGUGCAUGAAUCCUGGGGAUCAAGGUGUGAAAAUUCUGUGAAUUGGUUGAGUUCCAUGAGAUAAAAAGUUAAUAUAUCAACAUUUAGUCCUUUCAUUUUCUCACCAAGGGAAUAGUAUAUGCUUUCUCCAGAAAUCUCAUCCUAUACUCCUCUUAAUCCCUUUAUGGAGCUACAAGAUAAGACCUUAAUCCCUCAAGGACUGACAUUUGAUCAGCGCUUACAGACUUUUUCUAAACAGAGAACAGCUUUUUACCUAUGGUUUUAAAAAAAUGGAAAUUUUUCUGGGAAGAAUUUUCUAUGAAUUUCCCAUCCAUUUCAACAGAGCACUUCUUUUGCUAAUUAAUUAUUGAUUUGCUUGACCUGACCCAUUUUUGCAGUGCUGCGAGUUCGGGUCCCUGUGGAUGCUGGUCUUUAAUAUCAACUCAAGGCAGAAUCAAGUUGUUAUGUCAGAGGCGGGGGCCUGGUAGUGGCGUGAAUGUCCUUUCUAAAGGUGGUGGAAACAGCAGAAUGUCAGCGUGGUAACGGAACUUCUUAGAGUGAACGCUCUUGGUGUUGGGAGAGAACAAAUCAAAGAAAUCAAAACCUCAGAGCAACAGUUGAUGGAACUUGAGAAAUUAACAGACUUUUUCAGAGACAGUCUAAGAAACAAAGACCCUCCGACCAGAGUCUUGGUCUUCUCGUGUGAUACUUAUUACCUUUACCUGGGUUUUAGCUUCUGAACUCUGCUGGGUCAAUUCAACAAAUCUACAAAGCACAUUCUUAUUGGUUCCACUCAGCUAUGUUCCCACAUCAAUGAAGAACCCUCGUCGCUUGAUGCACCCAAAGGGAAGCUCUUGGUACAUUGAAAUAAAGUCAAUAGGAGUUCCUGUCAUGGCGCAGGGGAAACGAAUCCAGCUAGUAUCCAUGAGGAUGCAGGUUUGAUCCCUGGCCUUGCUCAGUGGGGUCAGGGAUCCCGUGUCGCUGUGAGCUGUGGUGUAGGUGAAAGACUCAGCUUGGAUCCCAUGUUGCUGUGGCUGUGGUUAUAAGCUGGCAGCUGUUCUUCCAAUUCUACCCCUAGCCUGGGAACUUCCAUAUGCCAUGAGUGUGGCCCUGAAAAGCAAAUAAAGUCAAUAAAACGUAGGUAACAAAAUGAAAAAAAUAAAUAUGGAGCCUUUUCUGUAUAAUAUGUAGUUGAUAAUUCUCCUAAAAGACCCAAAGAAAUUAUCUUUUUUGAGUUUACUCAUCUAAACAAAAUUAAAGACAAAAAUCAUAAUGUUCCCCAUAGAUUCUAAUGUAUACUAUUACCAAAAGGAUAAAGUAAAACCUUCUUCUUAAUAAAAGCAUGUAAAAUGAUUUAAAAGAUAUGUACCAUGAAAUUACACUAGAAAGCUCCUAUUUAUUUGAAUACAGUCUCUUCAAUCUUUCUUUGCCAUUUAUGAGUAAAUAUUUGUAUCUAAAAAGAAAUUUGAAUUCUAAAAAGAACAGGAGGCACUGAAAUAUACAGAGAGGACCAGAUAACAUUUAUCUUAUCACUUCUAAAACCCUACAGCUUCCGCCAGUGAUUAGGAAUUGUAGCACAUUUUUUCCCCAGUUCGAAAAGAAAAUAAUGAGCUAUACAAACAUUUCCAGGAUAAUCAAGCAGAAAUUUGCUGAAACGAAUCAUGAAAAUUUUUUAACAAUGCAAGAAAAUAGUCAAUGAUUUUUAAUAGCCAUCAAAUCACUAAUAGCUUCUAAAUUCUGCUCCUAUAAUAGUAGGGGGAUGGAUGGGGUGAAUGAAAUGAUACAUGAAAAAGGAGUGACUCGUCCACCAACCAAAUGGCUGUUUACAAUGACAAAUUGUCAGAUUAAUCAGCAAUUCUUGGGCCAAAUAAAAACCACUGCAUUACUAAGCAUAUAUAUUCUUCUAUGCUUUCUUCUAGCAUUCCUUAUCCUCUUCCAACCAAAAUAAAUACCUUCUGUCUCCAUAAACAUGUACAUUACACAUGGAAAAGGCAGUGAAGGGCACGCUGGAAAUUAAUGACUUUUUGAUUAAGGUCCUUGUGAACCUACUUUAACAUCACAGUACUCCUAGGAGGAGUAACAUGCGUGGGGAGUGGUCACCAUACUGAAAAUUUGUCUAUCGGAUCUUUCUUCUCUGCGACCCAAGCUACAAGAGAGGAAGUGGGAUAUUCAAGAAGUGGAGGGAGGAACCUCAAAGACAAGCAGCCCACCACACACUUUCUCCAGCCCCGACACCCAGCGCUUGCAUUGCUCGCCAGCGCCCAAGAGAGCCUCAGUGCAAGCACAGUUCCAGCAAAAUUACCUUUCAUUGCCACCACCAGCUACACAGACAAAGGAAGGACCAAAUUCUUGUCUUUGUGACAAAUCUGGGCAUGCAUCAAUGGAAACCAAGCACAAUAAAAGUUUCCUUGGUGAAAAGGAUGAAGGCGGUGACUCUCUGCCAUCUAAUGGGUUCAGGUCCCAAAAAAGAAAUUGUUUUUUCCCAAAAAGAAAUUUUGACCUGACCUAUAAACCAGGGGCUCUGGUCUAAUGGAUCUAAUUCAUUUCACCUUAUGGGAAUUUGUGGUUAUUUCUUUAUUGCUAGAUGCAAACAUUACCUAUCCUGGACCAAGAAUGGAGCCUCAGUUACUCCCUAAGCAGAGGAGACUGAUGUGGUGGUGGUGGUUUUCUCUAGACAUAACAGCCAAGAGGUAGCCAAUGAUAUCGUACAUGGAUGACACAGUGACUGGCUUUCCAAGAGAUGAAAAUAGAUUCGCACAGCUGUAGAUACAGACUUUCUGUACUAAAUAACUCUAUUUCAUCACCAUGGAGAACUUACCCAGUGGAGCUCUACCCUGCAGCAACUACACCUGCAAAAGUUGCUUUAUUUUCAAAUGUUCCAAGCUCUAGAUGAGUAUUAUUUGGGAAUGUGGCCAGUGAAAGGAGAGGUGGCAGGUUCUGAGUAUAAAGUGUUCAAAAGUCAUGACCCCAUUAUAACAGCUAUUCCAGGCAAGUUCAAGUAUACACCCUAGGUCAGGAUAGUCUAUAACUUGCUGUGAGGACAAAAAAAAAAAAAAAAAAAA